Long non-coding RNA from Parus major (Great Tit), 1869 nucleotides. Lineage: Eukaryota; Metazoa; Chordata; Aves; Passeriformes; Paridae. The record is from Ensembl.
GGAGGUGUUUGUGUAGCCUUGGGCUCUACAUUGAGCAGAUGGGUUUUUCCCACAUAGAGAAUAUUUUUAAUCAGUUUAAUGAGUUAUGGGUAUAGAUAAGCUGCAUCGAUCCCAGAUUUAGACACAGCUUCUUAGCAGAUAUUUUAGUAUAAAAAGACAUUUUCUUGGAAAAAAAAUGCGACCAUUUCAUUAAAGGUGUUUCAGUUUCUUCUCAGUUGCCUGGGUAAGUUGCAAUUUAUUUGAGCUGGGAAAGAGUGAAGCUCUCAACCUCUAAGUGCUGUAGAUUAGAGCAUAUCAAUUUCUUUUUCUCUUCAGUUUCUGUGCUAGGGCAAAACCUAAUGUGGAAAGGUUUUCCUCUAUUGUGGGAACACUAUCUCCAUGAGAAAGAUUUGGGAGUUCUCUGAGGGAGCAAACCUUGCAACCCAAAAGAAAGGGGAUGUAGUUUGGUGCAUAAAGGUGGGGUUGGAGUGUGGGAAAUGAGUCAAUUUAUACGAGAGCUUUGAAUCUUGGUACCUGUUUAUGGUCUUUUUCACUCAUGGAGGAUGAAAAAUGCACUCCAGGAUGGAGAAUGACCACAGUGUCACCAUGUGCAAGCCUGAACCACUCCAUCUUCCAGACCUGGCUGGCUGUGGUGGCUCCUGCUCUUUAGAAUCUACACUACAAACUGUUCUCCUUCCUUUUUUUGUGUUAGGGGCAAUCUCUGGAUGUGCUGGCAGGGCGAGUGACUGGAGGGCACGAAGCCCAACCAAGCAGCUGGAAGAGGCAGCUCUGACAUUGCCCUGCUGUGCCUCGAAUCUCCUGCCAAUGCCAACGGGUUCAUUGAGCUGGGAGCGCUUCCACCUAAGGGAGAAAUUUUGCCCAAUGACUAUUCCUGCUGUGUUACUGGCUGGGGAGUGGUCAGUGGUGAGUGAGGGGGAAGGAGGAGGGUCCAGGGGGACCACCAUACAAAUAAAGCUUCUUUCCUCAACCCCUGGAGCUGCUGGGCCAAGCUGUCACCCUUUCUCAUGUCCCCUCUGCUGUGCAGUGGGUGGUGGCAGCGUGGACAGGCUGCAGGAGGUGAUGCUGCCAGUGGUGACCAUGAUAUCCCUGCUCCCAGGAGGGCUGGUGGGGAUCCCAGGCAAGGACAGCAUGCUCUGUGCAGGUGGAGAUGGUGUGAGGGCAGGAUGUAAGAGCUCUUAUAAUCAGAGGGGUUUCAAGCUGCCCUCUUUCUUUCUCCCUCCUUUCUCACCUUGCUGUGCCUCAAGUUCUGGUUUUGGCAUUUCUUCACCUGCAGUGGUUCUCCUGUAAAUCAUGGCCCCUUUUGCUGCUUUCUGCUGAAUAUCUUCUGAACCAGGCCUUCUCCACAUUCCUCCAAAGAUCAGCAAGCAGAGAGAAAAACCUCCAGCUCCUCAGGGUGCACCUCUCCUCUCUGAUUCUGGAGAGUAGAUUGUCUCUGUCUCUCAGCAGCGUGUCCCAAGGACCAGAUCCUGGGGACAAGGGUGAGACUUUGGCAGUCACCUCUGCCCUGACCCAAAGGGUGAAGCUACAAGGAAGUUUUUCCACUCUUCCAGUGCUGCUGUUUUGUUUUGUUGUACCCUGAGCCAGGCAUUGCUACCUCCUGCUUGUCAACCUUCUCCUUCCCAUCCACUCUGUUUGCAGCUGAGCUUGCUGCAAGUUUGGGCUAUGUCCAACAGCUUUCUCUGGCCCAGAGGUGGAAAAAGAAGAUAUUGUGAGGGUCCCAUUAUCCCAGAGGAUCCAGGUGGACUCAGCAUCAAGGCAAGGAGGCUUGGCAUGAGAAGCCAAGAAAUAUUUGUUACCUCUUCCUGUAUUCCCUUCACUGCAAAGGUGGCUUCUAAUAAAAGCAACCAUGCAGAGCCCUUAAAAAAUUGU